RNAcentral lists this long non-coding RNA (267 nucleotides) under Homo sapiens (human). Its description in RNAcentral is "HSALNT0190948". Lineage: Eukaryota; Metazoa; Chordata; Mammalia; Primates; Hominidae. The record is from RNAcentral.
GGGGGUCGGGGUGGGGCUAGGAAGCUGAAGACAUAAGCAGAACCAAUCCUGUGGAGCAGUUUGGACACUAAAGGCAACAGGAAGCCUUUGAAGUGUUUUCAGAUCUGUGCUUUAGAAAGAUCUCUUCCUGGCACCGUGACUGGAUUGGAUGCAAGGCUGGAGAGAAUGGUGCAGGUUUAAAGCUAUGUGAUAAUCCAGGAGAAAGAGAAGGGUGGAUUUGUGUUUGGGUAAAGGGACUGUGGGUAGUUUUUCUUUUGUUUUUUUCUU